AUGAUAAGAAAUUCGUCGUUGACCUCCGUUUCUCCAUCUUCGAAUCACUCGGAAUAUUGUAGGAAUAAAUAUAAAUCGAAAGAACCAACUGUAAAAAAUAAGGGAAAUUGUGGCUUCCUGGUUUUUCAAGCGACAUACACGAAAUACACUGAAAAGCAUCUUUGGUUCUUGAAGAUGCAGUUAGAAAUAUUUACAUUGUUGUUGCAUUUUGUGCUGUUUUUGAUGCGGAAUGUUGUAUCGAGGGUAUUGUCAAGGUCAAUAUCAGUAGCAGAAACCACACUUUUUGCAGCGAAUAAGUAA
RNAcentral lists this long non-coding RNA (300 nucleotides) under Vicia faba (fava bean). The record is from RNAcentral. Lineage: Eukaryota; Viridiplantae; Streptophyta; Magnoliopsida; Fabales; Fabaceae.